UACAGAGGUCUCAAGCGUUGUUCGGAUUCAUUGGGCGUAAAGGGUGCGUAGGUGGCAUGGUAAGUCGGAUGUGAAAUCCCGGGGCUCAACCCCGGAACUGCAUUCGAUACUGCUGCGCUAGAGUACUGGAGAGGAGAUUGGAAUUUACGGUGUAGCAGUGAAAUGCGUAGAUAUCGUAAGGAAGACCAGUGGCGAAGGCGGAUCUCUGGACAGUUACUGACACUGAGGCACGAAGGCCAGGGAAGCAAACGGG
This 253-nucleotide ribosomal RNA is filed under the name uncultured bacterium. RNAcentral describes it as "partial 16S ribosomal RNA". It matches the Rfam family "Bacterial small subunit ribosomal RNA", at positions 524 to 776 of the family's 1533-position model. The record is from RNAcentral.